This 261-nucleotide ribosomal RNA is filed under the name uncultured bacterium. RNAcentral's name for it is "partial 16S ribosomal RNA". It matches the Rfam family "Bacterial small subunit ribosomal RNA", at positions 92 to 354 of the family's 1533-position model. The record is from RNAcentral.
UGAGUGGCGACGGGUGAGUAACGCGUGGGCAACCUGGCCUGUACAGGGGGAUAACACUUAGAAAUAGGUGCUAAUACCGCAUAACGGGGGAANCCGCAUGGCUUUUCCCUGAAAACUCCGGUGGUACAGGAUGGGCCCGCGUCUGAUUAGCCAGUUGGCAGGGUAACGGCCUACCAAAGCGACGAUCAGUAGCCGGCCUGGAGAGGGCGGACGGCCACACUGGGACUGAGACACGGCCCAGACUCCUACGGGAGGCAGCAG